This is a non-coding RNA of Gossypium arboreum, 90 nucleotides long. NCBI's taxonomy places the organism in Eukaryota, Viridiplantae, Streptophyta, Magnoliopsida, Malvales, Malvaceae. The record is from Rfam.
AUGAGCCGCAUGCGGGGAGACCCGCACGUACGGUUUUUAGGGGGAUCUGGUCGAAAGACCGAGAAUUGUAAAGCUAAUUGAUGAUUUUGU